RNAcentral lists this ribosomal RNA (1800 nucleotides) under Rhipicephalus microplus (southern cattle tick). RNAcentral's name for it is "SSU rRNA". It matches the Rfam family "Eukaryotic small subunit ribosomal RNA". The record is from RNAcentral. Lineage: Eukaryota; Metazoa; Arthropoda; Arachnida; Ixodida; Ixodidae.
CCUGGUUGAUCCUGCCAGUAAUCAUAUGCUUGUCUCAAAGAUUAAGCCAUGCAUGUCUAAGUACAUGCCGAAAUAAGGCGAAACCGCGAAUGGCUCAUUAAAUCAGUUAUGGUUCCUUAGAUCGUUUCUUCCUACUUGGAUAACUGUGGCAAUUCUAGAGCUAAUACAUGCAGUGAGCCUGGAGCCCUUUGGGUAACGGGUGCUUUUAUUAGACCAAGAUCGAUCGGGUUUCGGCCCGUAUUGUGUGGUGACUCUGGAUAACUUUGUGCUGAUCGCAUGGCCACGAGCCGGCGACGUUUCUUUCAAGUGUCUGCCUUAUCAACUUUCGAUGGUAGGUUACUUGCUUACCAUGGUUGUUACGGGUAACGGAGAAUCAGGGUUCGAUUCCGGAGAGGGAGCCUGAGAAACGGCUACCACAUCCAAGGAAGGCAGCAGGCGCGCAAAUUACCCACUCCCGGCACGGGGAGGUAGUGACGAAAAAUAACAAUACGGGACUCUUUUGAGGCCCCGUAAUUGAAAUGAGUACACUCUAAAUCCUUUAACGAGGAUCAAUUGGAGGGCAAGUCUGGUGCCAGCAGCCGCGGUAAUUCCAGCUCCAAUAGCGUAUACUAAAGUGCUCUUAAAAAGCUCGUAGUUGGAUCUCAGUUCCAGACGAGUAGUGCAUCUACCCGAUGCGACGGCUCGGACUGAACAUCAUGCCGGUUCUUUCUUGGUGCACUUCAUUGUGUGCCUCGAGAUGGCCGGUGCUUUUACUUUGAAAAAAUUAGAGUGCUCAACGCAGGCGAGUCGCCUGAAUAAACUUGCAUGGAAUAAUAGAACAAGACCUCGUUUCUGUUCUGUUGGUUUUUGGAAUACGAGGUAAUGAUUAAGAGGGACGGACGGGGGCAUUCGGAUUGCGGCGCUAGAGGUGAAAUUCUUGGACCGUCGCAAGACGAACUACUGCGAAAGCAUUUGCCAAGAAUGUUUUCAUUGAUCAAGAACGAAAGUCAGAGGUUCGAAGGCGAUCAGAUACCGCCCUAGUUCUGACCAUAAACGAUGCCAACCAGCGAUCCGCCUGAGUUACUCAAAUGACUCGGCGGGCAGCUUCCGGGAAACCAAAGUAUUUGGGUUCCGGGGGAAGUAUGGUUGCAAAGCUGAAACUUAAAGGAAUUGACGGAAGGGCACCACCAGGAGUGGAGCCUGCGGCUUAAUUUGACUCAACACGGGAAAACUUACCCGGCCCGGACACUGGGAGGAUUGACAGAUUGAGAGCUCUUUCUUGAUUCGGUGGAUGGUGGUGCAUGGCCGUUCUUAGUUGGUGGAGCCAUUUGUCUGGUUAAUUCCGUAACGAACGAGACUCUAGCCUAUUAAAUAGGUGCGGGGUUCCCAGCACCUUACAACCUUCUUAGAGGGACAAGCGGCUCCUAGCCGCACGAAACAGAGCAAUAACAGGUCUGUGAUGCCCUUAGAUGUCCGGGGCCGCACGCGCGCUACACUGAAGGAAGCAGCGUGUCUUUAUCCCUGUCUGAAAAGACUGGGUAACCCGUGGAACUUCUUUCGUGAUUGGGAUAGGGGCUUGCAAUUGUUCCCCUUGAACGAGGAAUUCCCAGUAAGCGCGAGUCAUAAGCUCGCGUUGAUUACGUCCCUGCCCUUUGUACACACCGCCCGUCGCUACUACCGAUUGAAUGAUUUAGUGAGGUCUUCGGACCGAUGUCCGGCGCGGCCUUUCGGUUGCGCCGGUCUGUUGGAAAGAUGACCAAACUUGAUCAUUUAGAGGAAGUAAAAGUCGUAACAAGGUUUCCGUAGGUGAACCUGCGGAAG